This is a non-coding RNA of Caenorhabditis elegans, 338 nucleotides long. The record is from Ensembl. NCBI's taxonomy places the organism in Eukaryota, Metazoa, Nematoda, Chromadorea, Rhabditida, Rhabditidae.
AAGGUCUGUAAACACGGAUUGGAGCGAUAGAGCGGUCAAGACUAGAGAGACGUAGGUGGUUAGACACAUGUUCUUCCCGAAUGAAGAAGAAUCUCCAAAAAAGACCGGUCCGGAAAGAAAAUCUAUGAAGCUAUUCCAAUUCCCAUCACUGAAUCCAUGAACAUGGUGGAGGGCUGAGAAGUCAAGCGUGACCGGCAGAAGGACAUGGAGAUCCGGUGCCUAUCGACUAGCCACAACUGGUGAGCGUCGAAGAAGAGAAGAUGUUGUGAUGAAAUUCGAGAUUGUCAGCGAUAAUCGAGAGACUAGGUCAAGUAGUGGAAACGCAGAGAAAGGGGGAG